This 663-nucleotide ribosomal RNA is filed under the name Salmonella bongori serovar 48:i:- str. 94-0708. RNAcentral describes it as "partial 23S ribosomal RNA". It matches the Rfam family "Bacterial large subunit ribosomal RNA", at positions 1266 to 1921 of the family's 2925-position model. Lineage: Bacteria; Pseudomonadati; Pseudomonadota; Gammaproteobacteria; Enterobacterales; Enterobacteriaceae. The record is from RNAcentral.
AGGACUGGUGGAGCGCUUAGAAGUGAGAAUGCCGGUAUGAGUAGCGAAAGAUGAGUGAGAAUCUCAUCCACCGAAUGCCUAAGGUUUCCUGAGGAAGGCUCGUCCGCUCAGGGUUAGUCGGGACCUAAGCCGAGGCUGAAAAGCGUAGGCGAUGGACAACAGGUUGAUAUUCCUGUACCACCUUUAAAUCGUUUGAGCAAUGGGGGGACGCAGGAGGAUAGGGUAAGCGUGCUGUUGGAUUAGCACGUCCAAGCAGUUAGGCUGGUAAUGAGGCAAAUCCCAUUACCACAUAAGCGGAGCUGUGACGGCGAGGGAAAUAUAGUACCGAAGUUCCUGAUUCCACACUGCCAAGAAAAGCCUCUAGCGAGAUUUAGGGUGCCCGUACCGCAAACCGACACAGGUAGGCGAGGAGAGAAUCCUAAGGUGAGCGAGAGAACUCUCGUUAAGGAACUCGGCAAAAUGACCCCGUAACUUCGGGAGAAGGGGUGCUCUUGCGGGUGCAAGCCUGCGAGAGCCGCAGUGAAUAGGCCCAGGCGACUGUUUAGCAAAAACACAGGUCUCUGCGAAGCCGCAAGGCGAAGUAUAGGGGCUGACACCUGCCCGGUGCUGGAAGGUUAAGAGGAGGGGUUAGCACGUUAGUGCGAAGCUCUGAAUUGAAGCCCC